This 497-nucleotide ribosomal RNA is filed under the name uncultured bacterium. Its description in RNAcentral is "partial 16S ribosomal RNA". It matches the Rfam family "Bacterial small subunit ribosomal RNA", at positions 28 to 507 of the family's 1533-position model. The record is from RNAcentral.
GAUGAACGCUGGCGGCGUGCCUAAUACAUGCAAGUCGAGCGAACAGACGAGGAGCUUGCUCCUCUGACGUUAGCGGCGGACGGGUGAGUAACACGUGGAUAACCUACCUAUAAGACUGGGAUAACUUCGGGAAACCGGAGCUAAUACCGGAUAAUAUAUUGAACCGCAUGGUUCAAUAGUGAAAGACGGCUUUGCUGGCACUUAUAGAUGGUUCCGCGCCGCAUUAGCUAGUUGGUAAGGUAACGGCUUACCAAGGCAACGAUGCGUAGCCGAACUGAGGGGGUGAUCGGCCACACUGGAACUGAGACACGGUCCAGACUCCUACGGGAGGCAGCAGUAGGGAAUCGUCGGCAAUGGGCGAAAGCUUGACGGAGCAACGCCGCGUGAGUGAUGAAGGCCUUCGGAUCGUAAAACUCUGUUAUUAGGGAAGAACAAAUGUGUAAGUAACUAUGCACGUCUUGACGGUACCUAAUCAGAAAGCCACGGCUAACUACGUG